GUUGCUAGAGGAUUGUCCUAUCUGCAUCAGAGUUGUCGCGAGUGCAUCAUACACUGCGAUAUUAAGCCAGAGAACAUACUUUUGGAUGCAUCAUUUGUUCCUAAAGUUGUGCACUUUGGAAUGGCAGCGUUUCUCAGAAUGGAUUUUAGCCGAAUUCAGACUACAUUUAGAGGAGCUGCAGGUUAUCUUGCCCCAGAGUGGCUUAGUGGAGUUGUGAUCACACCAAAAGUCGAUGUUUACAGCUUCAGCAUGGUGCUGUUGGAAAUCAUAUCAGGAAGGAGGAAUCCCUCACCUGAACCAUCACACUAA
This 309-nucleotide ribosomal RNA is filed under the name Triticum aestivum (bread wheat). RNAcentral describes it as "partial small subunit ribosomal RNA". The record is from RNAcentral. Lineage: Eukaryota; Viridiplantae; Streptophyta; Magnoliopsida; Poales; Poaceae.